GUUUGGUGCCCGUCCGAUCUGUGGCUGCGGGCGUGUCUCCGGAGCAGAGGAGGCGUGAGAGAAAGAUGUCGGAGAGGCGGCGAGCCAAUGUUUCUUCCGGUGGCCGGUGCCGCGGAGGUUGCCCGGAGACGGAGCCGGCACCGGCGGCAUCCUAUCCUAAAGCUCGAGUGGGGACACUCAUCGUGGCUUGAUCUUACUCCCUGCUCCAUGCUCGGCUCUGGAGGAGGAAGAUGGAGUCGCUGGAGCAGAGCAGUCUGCGUUUCAUAUUUCUUACCGGCAUCCGCUUGCUCUGCCAAUUCUUUAGUUCAGGCAUACAGGUAAAAGAAAAGGAAAACCAUCUGUAAAAUGUAGGACCAUAUAGCAUUUCCACAGUCAUAUAGCAUUGUCAAGAGCAUACAAAUAGACGA
Molecule: long non-coding RNA, 407 nt
Organism: Triticum aestivum (bread wheat)
Lineage: Eukaryota; Viridiplantae; Streptophyta; Magnoliopsida; Poales; Poaceae
Exons: 2
Source: RefSeq, a predicted model, not a curated record